GCGGAAGCGUUACGAAGGAAGUUUUCGGACUUUAUUGGUAACGGUUUAGCGGCGGACGGGUGAGUAACACGUGGGCAACCUGCCUUAUACUGGGGGAUAACAGUUAGAAAUGACUGCUAAUACCGCAUAAGCGCCCAUCCCCGCAUGGGGAAGAGCGAAAAACUCCGGUGGUAUAAGAUGGGCCCGCGCCUGAUUAGGUAGUUGGUGGGGUAACGGCCUACCAAGCCGACGAUCAGUAGCCGACCUGAGAGGGUGGCCGGCCACAUUGGGACUGAGACACGGCCCAAACUCCUACGGGAGGCAGCAGUGGGGAAUAUUGCACAAUGGGGGAAACCCUGAUGCAGCGACGCCGCGUGAGUGAAGAAGUAUUUCGGUAUGUAAAGCUCUAUCAGCAGGGAAGAAAAAAGACGGUACCUGACUAAGAAGCCCCGGCUAACUACGUGCCAGCAGCCGCGGUAAUACGUAGGGGGCAAGCGUUAUCCGGAUUUACUGGGUGUAAAGGGAGCGUAGACGGUGCGUCAAGUCUGAAGUGAAAGCCCGGGGCUUAACCCCGGGACUGCUUUGGAAACUGUCGCGCUAGAGUGCUGGAGAGGUAAGUGGAAUUCCUAGUGUAGCGGUGAAAUGCGUAGAUAUUAGGAGGAACACCCGUGGGGGAAGGUGGCUUUACGGGACAGUAAACUGACGUUGAGGCUCGAAAGCGUGGGGAGCAAACAGGAUUAGAUACUCUGGUAGUCCACGCCGUAAACGAUGAAUGCUAGGUGUUGGUGGGCAAAGCCCAUCGGUGCCGCCGCAAACGCAAUAAGCAUUCCACCUGGGGAGUACGUUCGCAAGAAUGAAACUCAAAGGAAUUGACGGGGACCCGCACAAGCGGUGGAGCAUGUGGUUUAAUUAAAAGCAACGCGAAGAACCUUACCAAGUCUUGACAUCCCUUUGCAUGCAGGGUAAUGCCUGCAGUCCUUCGGGACAAAGGAGACAGGUGGUGCAUGGUUGUCGUCAGCCCGUGUCGUGAGAUGUUGGGUUAAGUCCCGCAACGAGCGCAACCCUUAUCCUUAGUAGCCAGCAGGUAAAGCUGGGCACUCUGGGGAGACUGCCAGGGAUAACCUGGAGGAAGGUGGGGAUGACGUCAAAUCAUCAUGCCCCUUAUGAUUUGGGCUACACACGUGCUACAAUGGAAGAAACAAAGGGAGGCGAAGGGGCAACCUGGAGCAAACCC
This 1213-nucleotide ribosomal RNA is filed under the name uncultured bacterium. RNAcentral's name for it is "bacterial SSU rRNA". It matches the Rfam family "Bacterial small subunit ribosomal RNA", at positions 55 to 1274 of the family's 1533-position model. The record is from RNAcentral.